AUGUCUAAUAUUGCUGCCAAUCAUCUUCUCUAUCUCAGAAAGCAAUCCUAUGCAGUUGUAGCAAAAAGUUUAAGGAUGCAACUGGCAAAUACUAAUGUGGAGGUGGUGAAGGCAAAUGUGGGGAAUGAAUCAAGUUCAGUGGGCAAUAAAGAUGGAACAAUCUUUUGGAUGAAAGAUCCUAAGACUGGAAACUGGAUUCCAGAGAAUCACUUUGGGGAAGUUGAUGCUGCAGACCUCAGAAAUAAGUUUCUUCCAAAAAGAUCAAGAAACCAGUGA
Non-coding RNA from Vicia faba (fava bean), 276 nucleotides. The record is from the annotation of a GenBank genome assembly. NCBI's taxonomy places the organism in Eukaryota, Viridiplantae, Streptophyta, Magnoliopsida, Fabales, Fabaceae.